Molecule: long non-coding RNA, 7952 nt
Filed under: Stegodyphus dumicola
Lineage: Eukaryota; Metazoa; Arthropoda; Arachnida; Araneae; Eresidae
Description: uncharacterized LOC118182867
Source: RNAcentral
GGGCCUAGCACUCUAUUCAUAUUAUAAAAACGUAUUUUUUUUCCUCCGGGAAAUUCCUUCAGGCUUUAAUUAUUUGAGUAUAUCAUUGUGAUACAAGCAAUUAAUUUGAAUUUAACGUUCUGUCCUCUAUUUUUUUUUUUUUUUUUUUUUUUUUUUUUUUUUUUUUUAAUUCUGGGAAGACAGACCAGAAGCGUAAGAUUCCAGGACCAGAUUGAGAAUUAAAGAUUUUCAACAGACCUGUUUGUUCUUAAGUGGUCUUCCAAUAAAGCAAUGAACGAUAUUGUCAAUCUCAAUGUUUCUAUUCAUUUUAUUCAAAUCUUUCGAGUUAUUAAUGAAAUUGUUUGUAUUCUUUCAGCCCAGAAUGAUACGAGACCUCUGGCCCUAACGUUGAGGAGUUCCCCGACAAUCAGUCCGGCAUCUCCUGGCAACUUCUGGCCACACUCCUUGGUUCCUCCCACCUCUCAGUCCUCACCAGUGUCUCAUAUGUAUCAGCCUAUUCAUUACUCAUCAUUACUCCAUUCGGGGACUUAUCCCUACAGCUUCGUGCACAACACUUCGGCAGUCGCAGCAGCGGCGCCUUCGAAUGGGGUUCACCCAACUUUAGAAUCAACAUCCAUCCACCCACUGUGCUCCUACUUGUCCGGGUCUCCUUAUUCGUCAGCUCAGUCGGUGGGUCUGCCAAACCCUACUAUAGCUUCAGCUCUGGGGGGACCGGGACCUCCACCCCGGCUCCUCGACGGACACACCAGCGGAGACAGCCAUGGCUCGUUGGACUUAAGGGACGACUCAGACAAAGAGGGAGGCAACGGAGGGGGAGCUGCAGCUUCCCCAGCAGUCAGUAGUCCGGACAAAAUCCCUCCCACAGCGCUUCCUCACAAACGAACCAGUAGGUUCCAGCCAUAUUAUCUAAUGUCAAGGCAGAAAAUAAUUGAGACGUCAGUGGAUGCGUAACGAUUCAGCAUUUCUAGUGAAUAACCAAGCGCGCCUGCUGUUGGGAGCGACGACGAAGUCCAGUGCGGAUUAGAAUAGAAUAGAACCAAAAAAUUUUCUCGAAUGGAUGAAAAGAAGUACUUAAGCCACGGGAAUGAGACGGAGAUGUUUUCUUCUUAAUGAAGUAAUCUGUGAUUUCAAGUGCUGGUGAUAAUGUGAUACGAAAAAGGAAGAAAACUGAAGGAAAAGGAAAAAAAAAACGAAAUUAAUAACAAUAAUAACUAUAAAAACUCUGUAAGCGCCGUCAUUAUUUCCUAUGCAAUGCGAAACGCAAUACUUUUUCUGUGACAUUGUUGUCUACGAGUGUUUCUCUAUGCAAAUAUUAUUGACUCAAGUGACAUUGUAAAGAAUGAUUUUUAUCGUGAUAUUUUAUGUAGAUUAUUGUUUUUAAGUUAUAUUAUUUUAAUGAAAAUUUCCCAUAGCAUUCUUCCCCCCCCCAAAAAAAACAGGAAAAAAAUGGAAGCUAAAUAUCAGUGUAUAAACGAAGUAUUUGCUACCUGGACUUAAAUGUGUGCUAGCCCCCUAGCGUAAUGUUGAAAUACAGACCAUCAUAUAUCAUAAGAGUUCCGGGUUCCUGCAUUCUUUUAAUGUUCAUAUUAAAGAAUUAUUAUUUUGUAGAAAUAAUAAUUAGAAAAUAGGAAGAAAUCAGUUUUAGUCAGAUUCAAGAGCAUGUAUUGAUUACAGCAAUUUGGUUUGCAGACACAUAUAUUGCGCUCACAUUAAUUUUUCUUCGAAAUACAGUGGAAUAAAGAACUCCUUAUGUUGAAUGCCAAAGAAGUAUUUUUACAUGAUAUUAAUCGUGAUUUUACUAGUCUCAUGGGAAAAAUUUUUGAAUAAUAAAAAUGUAACAUAAAAAAUAUUUAAUCGAAGAAGACUUAAUGCGUUUGAAUGAUAAUGAGCCAUAUACUCAACUUGCAAUGAUAUUAAAAAUUUGAAAUUAAAGAAAAUUAGAAAACUUGGUUUGAUAUUGAAAUAAACAAGCAUAUCGUUUACAUUUUUAGCUCUUAUAAAAACGGUAAGCUUGUUGUUUUCACAGAGUUGUAAAAUGCAACCUGCUGAGUACAUAUCUUGCAAGGAUGUUUUUCAUUCACUUGAACCCACUCUGAUCCAGUUCAAAAAGAUCCUAAGCAGCUUAGAAAGAGGGAAAGAAUAAGUGUUUUUAACGACUACACAACUGCGUAUAUUUACUUAUAUCCUCCAAAUUUUGUAAAUAAUAAGUGCUUUUUUAAAUAUAUAAGCGUCUCCCAAAUACACUUCUGGAGAGGUAUAUUAACGUACAUUUCUAGACUACCAUAGAUUUUUAAAAAAUCCAUUGCCAAAAAAAAUGAGAUAGAAUUAAUAAGAAGAGAUAGUAAGGAAAGGGGGGAAUAUCCAGUUUAAAUUCAAUUAUCAUUUCAAAUUUAAAUCUAAAGUUAAAUCUAAAUUUUACGAAGGAGUGGUAAGACAGAAGUCUUCACAGUGUAAUGAGAAAUUGUAUUAAGUCGCUGCCAUGCCAAAUUAUGUUCCAUUUGAAAACUUCACAUAGGUAGUGAUUAAGUUAAACAUUAUGUUGGGCAACCAAACCAUUGUUCUGCAUUGGAUAGUUCUACUGUAUUUCUACUGUUAAUAACUAAAUAGCAGGCUUUAGAUCAUUUUUAAUAUUUAUCUGAGCUAAAUUCUGCUUCAAUUUAGCCAAAUUUAAUGCGACCAUUCGCUAGUAAAGCUCAUAUUUCAUAUUAAAAUGAGUAUUUUCAGAGAUAUUUUACAAAACCAAAAAGGCGCAAUAUUUUGAACAUGAAUCUUUAGAUAAAAAUAAAUUAGUUAUUUCAAUUAGAAUAGAAUUUUCAUGUCUUAGACUUCUGUCAUAAGAUCAGAGAAACCUUUUAGAAAUUUCUUUAAAAUAAAAAACUUUGUGGUAUACACUGGACUUCCAAACUUUUCACAUUUAUUUAUUGAAUGUGAUGAAAGUGAUGUUUGUUUCAUUUCAACAUUACGCUGAAUAAAAAAUUGUGAUAAAUUCUCGAUUGCCAAGUUCCUUUCUUGUGCUUUAUAUUCUUUGUGAUAGUUAAGUGUUAAUUCUAAGGAAAAUAAAAAACGAAGACUCUUUCUAUCGAAUUUGGAGUCUAAAGAUAAUUUCCAGCAUGUCAUAAAAUCCAUGUAUGUUCUUCAUAAUUUUAUAAGUAAUGUAAGUACAUGUUAAGCAGUUGUCUGGAAGUGUGGAUAUAUAAUCCAGGUUAACUCACUUCUAAUAAUUCACUUCCAUGUGAUGCUUCUCAAAAAUUGUAAAAUGCUCAAAAAGGCAAAAGAAAAAAGAAAUUCAUAAAAUAUUUUAUAUUUAGUCAUAACAUAAAUUUAAAAAAUCAGAUACCUUUAAAAAUGUAACGACAGAAAAAUCCGAAUUGAAGAAAUAGCUUUUACGUUUCUUAUACAUUGUCCUCAUAUGACUGUAUUUCAAAGUCGGCCUUAGAUGUGAAACUGUCUUUAAAAAUAGCAUUAAUGAAAUUAGUAUAUUAGUUUCUGUUUAGAAAAAAGUCAAGUUCUAUUAAUGUCCCUAAUUUUCUUACUAUUUGAGAUUUAUUUCAAAAUAAAAUGAGAAUAUGAAAAUGAGAAAAUGCAUAUAAAUGAGAUUUUAUAUGCAUUUUAAUUGUAUCGCUUUCCUAAAUAUUAGUCCUGUUUUGAAGUGUUUUCAUAAUAUUCUAAAACUAAAAACAAGGUUUCACUAGCAUUCUUUGUUUUAUUUGCAAACGAUUUUUUCACAAAAGAAUUCCUUUUGCAUAUUUGCACCCAUUUCUGGACGACCGUGUAAUCGAUCAUCCCAUCAACAAAACACACACACGCAAACCAAAACAAAAGAGGAAAAAAUGGGAAGAAAAACGAUUAAAUAACUGCAAUUACAAUAGUCAGCAACAUUUUGCGAGAAGAUUUGUUUUGUGGCAUACCACCAAAUUUGUUAUUGUUGAUUGCUCAGGCGUCUAAACAGCAAACAAAUACAGAGGGGUAAAAAAAACCAAGAAUAGUAACGCCUAUCUCUUUGUGUUGCUUGAAGGAAAAUAUGCAUACACAUAAUUACCGUAAAAAUGUCACUGUCCUUCAGUAAACAAUCCAAAUUCUUUAUCAUUCAACAAUAAGUCAAAAAAUGGCCAGUCGGUGCUAAAAAUUUAUAUCAUUAUAAUAUAAUAUAAAUGAGAAACUCUUUUCUUUCCUUUUAUUUUAAUUUGCAGAUAUUAAGGGGUCAGGUACCUUUAAAAUGUCAAAAUGCGCUAAAACUAUAACACAUUUUAAAGCAAAAUGUCUUUAUAACUAACUGGUUUAUGAUCGUGAAAUUUUGUAUGCUUAUUUCUAUAUCGUGAAUAUUAUAAUUACUCUUUUGUUUUAUGUUCCAUUUAUUAAAAUACUUUUAAUACAAUAAAAAUAUGAUACCUUCGUCGUCAUCGACAUAAAAUUGUAAUAUGUACUUCGUACACUAUUAUAAAUAAACAAAUGGUUAUGUUUAGAUAAUGUUUUUCCCAUAUUAGGAAACUUAUGUAUAAUCAAAAUAACCUACUAUAAAAAAAAAACAGAAUUAUAAUUUUUCUAAAAAAGAAAUUUUUUUUUUUUUUAAUUUUUUUUUUAUUUUUGAGAUUCCGAAAUCAAUUAGUUUUACAUAAAAUUAAAGGUAAUUUUUAAACAUUUCUAAACAUAAUUUCUAGGGCUUUUACCAAUUGUCAAAAGUUUUAGAGUUUACUAUAUCAAUGGUCAAAAGUGUUUUUUUUUUUUUUUUUUUUUUUCUGACUAACGGUUUUGGAGAAAUCUUGCGCGCAAGCAGAAAAUUUUAGUUUUGAGAAAUCUUGACUUGAAGAUUACAGACUUCAGAUCCUGUAAGCAAACACCAUUUUCUUAAUAUUAACAAAGAAAUGUAGAAAUAUAAAUUUAUAAGUUAUUGUUUGUAAGCAUACGUAGCUAUAUGUUUACAAAGUUUCGCAUACCUAACCGCCAUAAUUUAACUGAAAUAAUGAAAAGUAAGGUUUUUCGAAAUUUCAUGUAAUUUUUAAUUUAAUUAUAAUUUUAACCAUUUUUGUGUCAGACGCAUAAUAACUUGUCCUUUUAUCCCGAUUUAGUGUUCACAUAAUUAAUCAAAAUUUCUUGAAAUUAUAAUCGGCCAGUUCUGAAAAAUCAUGCACGUAAGCCAGAAAAUCACAUUUUUAUGAAAUCUCAACUAAAAAUUUUAAAUUACCUAGAAAUCCUCUAAGCAAAUUUCUUUUUUAAAUUAAAAAUUAGAUAGAUAAAUAUUCUAAUUAGUUAACUUUUCUAUCAUAGUUAGUGAUACAUCCGUAUGAAUUGUAUACACAAGCAUUUUAUGUAUAGUUCAGGGGAUUUAAUAAGAUAAAUCUGCUAAAUAGCAAAUGUAAAUAAAACUCCUGGACCUUAGAAUAGUAAAAUCUUCGGAAAUAAUUUUUACCAUAACUUUAGUACUGGAUCGAAUUUUUACAUGGGGUUUGUUUUAAAAUGUGUGUAAGGAUUCGGCUUUAAUUUUUUUCAAUUAUUUAAAAGUACUGGCGCCUUAACCUAAUGCGAAAUCAGUGCAAACAUAAGCGACGUAACGCCAAUCAGAUAGUUGUUUUCUCAGAGAUAACACAACUUUUCAGUAAAACAUUUUGUAUGCCACAUAACUUAUUACGUAAUAUCCUGAAAGACACUGAUGUGAUUUUUAAAAUGAGAUAAAUCUAUUCUUAUUUUAAAAUUGCAUUGCAUUUAUAUUGCUCAAAGGAAUUUUAUUGUCUGCUGGUUUAUAUAUGAGGUAUACGUUACUAACAUUUUGAAAGUAAUGAAGCAAAUAAUUAAUGUCCAUAAUAAGUGUUUUGUGUGUUAAAUAAUACCCACACCCAAUUUUGCCUUGAAUUUAUUUUACUUUGUAAAAAAUUAUAAUACCUUGAUUACUUAAGCAAUAUUACAAAGAUAUAUAAUGAAUUACUUCUUUCAGGUUAAAAUUUUAAAAUAAUUUAAUUUUGCACAUUCGUGAGGUGAUGUAAUAUUGGAUUUCUAAGCAGAUGAUUAGAAUUUGAAUUUCUUUUUUCUUUCUUUUUGCAGAACAAAAAACCAAAAAUAAAUAAUUAAUUUGGGCAAAAAUAAAUUUCUAAAGUAGCUGAUAAAUCAGACAUAAUGGUAAAACUAGCGCAGUUAAUUAUUUUAUAACAACGGAACUUAAUAAUGUAACUAAUGUGUAACUCUACAAGACAAACAGUAAAUGCUACACGCAUGUGUUAUUUUGCUAAUUUUGUUCUUCCUCAAUAUGCUCGUCUAAACGGAUUUUAACGCAUUUGGAAUUUGAUGUAGUAUGUGAUAACAAAGCGUUGUACGUUUCCUUCUAGAGUAGUAUUAAAUAUGAUUUUCUAUUAUUUUUGAUUUCAUUGUGUUUUUGACCUUCUGAAAAUGUAAUUUGGAAAUCGAACUAUAUAUAGAUGUUCCAUAAAUCCAGCAUCACUUACAAUCUUACUAAAGGUAUUUAAAAUUACUUUCCUAUGUUUAUAAUACACCACGUUCAUUUGGAAAUUGCCACUCCAGUUACACAUAUUCGACGAUGGUAGGGUCAAUCUAAUGGUAAAAGUCAUCCUUUCUUCAGGACACUAAACAGCAGUUAAUUCCUCGGCAUAACAUAAAUGAUUUCGUAAAACAGAACAGAAAGUUGCCGAACUUGGUACUUUCUCCGGAGGUUACCAACCCGGUGGAUGAAUCUGUAUGAAGAAUUAGAGGUGCAAACGAUCAUCACACAGGUAAAUGUCAAGUGGUAUGAUGUCUGGGCUUCUUUAGACGAUCGUCAACAAUCGCACGGGGACGUGUCCCGUCUCCUGGAACUGGCAGAUUAUACACUGUGAUGCUUUGCUUAUGGAACACCUUUUAGACCGAUGAUGCUAACAGGCUCUCAGAGAAUGAAAUUUAUGAGCUGUCUGUGAAGUAUGUAUCGUAUGGAAAGGAUUUCAAAAUCUCUUAUAUAAUCCAGUCAUUCAAAAAAAUCAUGUGGAUGUGUUUUAUGACCCUCUUUUCUUUGUUGAAAUCGGUAUCAAUUUCAAUUAGUUAGGACAUGCUAGAGGUUUUUUUUCUCUCAAAUUGAGCAAAUGGAAAGCAACAGUUCAGUUCAGCAACAGAUACGUUCUUCUUUCAGCAAGAUAAAGCACCUCCCCAGUUUUCGAAUCACGUGCGAAAUGAGUUCAGUCGUCGAUUUUCAGGAAGAUAGAUUUACAUAAAUGGACUUAUCCUAUAUAGCCCAUAAGCCAUCCUACAACCGCUAGACACAACCCACUAGACUUCUUCCUAUGGGGUAAAGAACUGAUAAUCUUGACCACGUAUUGUAUUUAUUAAUUUUUGUAAUUUAUUAAUUUUUCCGUUAUCUUUUUUAGUGAAUGAAUUAAAUAAAAAGAAGUUGUAAUCCAUUUCGCACAAAAAAUACUUCACAGCUACUUCACAAAAUUGCACUUUGCAUUCUCUGAAACCCUGUACUCAAAAUUCAUUUUCAGUGUUAUUUGUGAUACUGUGAAAGCCUUUAAGAUAAAUUUAUUAAGUCAAUCAUUCAUUUCUUCCUCAUGACUUUUACCACAGCUUUUCAAUUAUUACCUUUUAUGUAUAAUUCCUGACCCAGAUGCCUGUAAUUAUGCUUUCGUUUCGAUACGCAAAAAGAGCGGCUAAAGUCAGCCGCUAACACGAGUUGCAUUCUCGUUAAAAGCCAGUAUAAUUUAUGUGAUCUCAUGUUCCCAUGAGAAUUGUGAAGUGCAUAAAUAAUGUUUAUGUUUGCCACAUGUAUAUUAUAACUCCGAUAGAAUUCCAUUUCUUGACCAUUGUAAUUCACACUUUUUUGUAUAGUUCUUCUUUUGUAUAGUCUUAUCGAUGUUGUCAUUAAAAACUGGUUUUUUUAUAUGUUUGCUGAGCUGUGAAUGUUACUUGUAUAAAAGCAAAUAAAAGAAGCAGUCUGAAUAUGUCUCAGCCUAAUAAAGCUAUGUGCUUAUAAUUAA